RNAcentral lists this ribosomal RNA (1554 nucleotides) under Triticum aestivum (bread wheat). RNAcentral's name for it is "partial small subunit ribosomal RNA". Lineage: Eukaryota; Viridiplantae; Streptophyta; Magnoliopsida; Poales; Poaceae. The record is from RNAcentral.
AUGGAGGACGGUGUGUCAACUUAUACUGUCGAUGAGGCGCUUGUGUCCAUGGGGUUUGGAAAGUUCCAAGCGUUCGUGCUUGCCUAUUCCGGGAUGGCCAAGAUCUCAGAGGCGAUGGAAAUGAUGCUUCUGUCGUUUGUUGGGCAGUCGGUUCACGCUGAAUGGGGGCUUUCUGCACAGGAAGAGAGUUUCAUCACAAGUGUUGUAUUUUUAGGGAUGCUUGUGGGAGCAUACUGCUGGGGCUUAGUUUCGGACAACUAUGGGAGAAGGGUUGGGUUCAACUUCACAGCCCUUGUAACCGGUGGGGCUGGUCUUCUCAGUGCCUUCGCGCCAAACUAUUCAUCUUUGAUUGUACUAAGAUUUUUUGUUGGUGUUGGACUGGGUGGUGGACCAGUUCUAUCUUCUUGGUUUCUAGAGUUUGUCCCUGCUCCUAACCGAGGAACUUGGAUGGUUAUCUUCUCAGCAUUUUGGACCAUUGGCACAAUACUGGAAGCUUCGCUUGCUUGGGCUGUGAUGCCAGCUUUUGGCUGGAGGUGGCUGCUAGCGCUCUCAUCAUUGCCAUCAUUUGCCCUACUACUCUUCUACCCAUUGACACUCGAGUCACCAAGAUACCUAUGCAUGAAGGGCAGAAUAGCUGAUGCAGUGCAUGUUAUGGAAACAAUGGCACGAGUAAACCGUGUAGCUCUCCCUUCUGGACGACUUAGUGCUGGCCAUCGAGUGGAGCUCCACGAGAUGGCAGAUUCCGCAGAAUCUGCGCAGUUGGUUUCAGCUAGGAAAAGCAACCCUGUCGAUCACGCCAGCAAACCUGGGAUUGGGGGCCUGAAUGCCAUCUUAAGGCUUUUGUCCCCAAAUCUAAUUAGAUCGACUCUUCUUCUUUGGACUGUCUUUCUCGGUCUCGCCUUCUUGUACUACGGUCUUGUUCUGCUAACCUCGGAGCUGAGUCAUGGAAAUAGGAUCUGUGGCUCAGAAGGAGCAGUAACAGCUGAAACAACCCACUCAACUGAUGUUAAUCUCUACAGGAAUGUAUUCAUCACUAGCUUUGGAGAGGUUCCCGGCCUUAUUCUGUCGGCCGCCAUCGUGGACAAGUUCGGACGCAAGCUCUCAAUGUCCUCGAUGCUUUACGUCAGUUGCCUGUGCAUAGCUCCUCUCAUGUUCGCUCAGACGGAAUCCCUGACGACCAUCUUCCUGUUUGGAGCGCGCAUCUGCAUCUCCGCCAGCUUCAUCGUGCUGCACAUCUACGCCCCCGAGGUUUGUUCAUGCCAUGAUAUACCCGACAGCCGUGAGGGCGACGGGCGUGGGGUUCGCGAGUUCCAUCGCCCGCUUCGGGGGGAUCCUGUGCCCGCUCGUGGCCGUCGGGCUGGUGCACGCAUGCCACCAGACCGCGGCCAUCGCGGUGUUCAUCACGGUGAUGCUCGUGUCGGCCGUGGCCGUGUCCUACUUCCCCCUGGAGACGAGCGGGCGGAAGCUGAGCGACCACAUCGCGGCGUAGAGCGCGGCCACCUGACAAUGACAUUGCCGCAGCUGCUAUUGCCGCUGUCGGCAUUAGACUCCUGA